RNAcentral lists this microRNA precursor (135 nucleotides) under Trichophyton rubrum BMU01672. The record is from RNAcentral. Lineage: Eukaryota; Fungi; Ascomycota; Eurotiomycetes; Onygenales; Arthrodermataceae.
GCUUACCCAUCAUUAACCUCGAAACAAGCCAAUCGGCCUUGUAAGAGAAAUGAAAAGAAAUGAUCAGCAGUUGCUGUUGCUGCGCUGAUGUUGAUGUUGACGAAGAAGAAAAACGAAGAAACAAAAACUUUGCCG